Molecule: small RNA, 6460 nt
Filed under: Mytilus galloprovincialis (Mediterranean mussel)
Lineage: Eukaryota; Metazoa; Mollusca; Bivalvia; Mytilida; Mytilidae
Source: RNAcentral
AUGAACGUUUUGACAACCGUAACCAAUGGAGGUGCAAUUCUAAGAGUCAGUGGAACCUUUGGGACAAAUAAAUUUGUCUCAAUAAACAGUUUUGGUGGUAACACAUGUCUUCAUUUGAGGACUCCCAAGAAAAACGGAUCGGGGUGGAAAAGCUUUACUAUGACCGUUAGUGAGUAUAAAGAAAUGGUGAGGAUGGUUGAUCCAGACCGUCUUACCGAUAUUGCAGAGAGGUUCAAUGUUAAGGUAAGGUUUUUUUUAUUUCUUCAUGAUAAUUUUGGAGGAAAUGGUUAAUUGUUGGGAUGUACAGAUACCAGAUCACGUCCACUAGUUUUUAUAGCAUUUUAUUUUCAUCCAUCUGAUGAAUUACCUUUUUUAACUGAUUUUUACUGUUAUAUUACUGUCUCAGGUGAGGGGAUGGUUGAUAUCCCGCCACAUUAGGUAUGUGUGUACCUGUUCCAAGUCAGGAGCCUGUAAUUCAGUACUGGUUUUCAUUUGUUUAUGUUUUACAUAUUGUAUUAUUCAUUCAUUUUUUUUUUUUGGUUAUUAAAUUAGACCGUUGACUUUCUUGUUUUGAAUUAAUUGUAUGUUGACAUUUUGAAACCUUUUAUAGCUGACUGUGCGACAGGAGCUUUGCUCAUUGUUGAAGGCUAUGGUGACCUAUAGUUGCUGUAAGUUUCUGUAUCAUGUUGUCUCAUUGGCAUCAUACCACAUCUUCUUUUUUUAUAUCCAUGUAGAUUUCAUGCAUUUCUCUCCAAAACUGUACUCUCUCCUCUCAAAAACAUUUCAUAUACCAUAUUUUUUUCAAGUAUGAUGUACAACAAUUGUCGCUAUAAGAUUAAAUCAUUUGAUAUUAUAUAUUGUAGAACAGGACGGAACGCGCGUUGGAGGAGGCAGCACUAAGAGCAGAUGAGAGUAGGGAGGACGAAGCUGGACCAUCAACAGAGGCAACAGUGGAGACACCCGAGCCUGCCCAAAUGCCUCCGAUGAAGACAUGUUUAAAAAGUAUUGGCCGUAUCAUAUGUUUGGAGCCGACAUCACUUUUAACUCGAGACAUACUAGUGAGCUUACCUUCUGUUCUUCUGGAUGAAAUAGAUCAAUCACUAGAUGUAGAUUUAACAAAUAAAGCCAUUGCUGGUGUAUUCAUGUUACAGGAAGUAAUCUCGCAAAGAACUUUUGAAAUACCAAAUACAUCUUUGUAUCAGAGUUGUUAUAGUUUUUUUUGUAUAAAGGGAAAAGUGGAUUUUCAACAGAUGAUGACAUUUUAUCUAUAGUGGGAAAGAUGAAAUCUAAUAAUCUGAAUGACAUCACAAACAUUUUCAACGUGAACAUUGGAGAUUCAUAAUUUUAAACAAAAAGUUACUAUCUUGUUUCAUUUUUUUUCUUAGACUAGAUUGUUUUAUUACUUUUGAUUUUUUACCCUGCAUACCAAUAUUGCCCAUGUGAAAUUUAUAAUUGUCUUGUAUAAUCAUGGAACGACAAAAUUUCUUACUAUGUGACGUAUACAUUUUCUGACAUCAGACACGCGAAGCAGUGAAUGUGUUUUAAUUUGAAAUAUGCUUUUUUUGUUCUUCUGUUAAAUUGUUUCUUUUAAAAUUGUAACACGGUGAUGGCUGCUGUACCCGUAUUAUAAAGGUAAAUGCAGAAAAGCGCGUCCGACGCAAGAAAUAAUCAUAUGUGUUGUUUUCAAUAUUUUUGACUAUUUUAUUUAUUAUAUAUGUUUAGUUCACGCAUCGUUGUAAAUAUAACAGAAUUUAACGAGUCUGUCGUACAAAGUGCGCAGUUAAGCGCUAUAAAACCAGGUUUAAUCCACCAUUUUCUACAUUUGAAAAUGCCUGUACUAAGUCAGAAAUAUGACAGUUGUUGUCCAUUCGUUUUUGGUGUGUUUUGUCAUUUGAUUUUGCCAUGUGAUUAGGGACUCGCCGAUUUGAUUUUCCUCUGAGUUCAGUAUUUAUGUGAUUUUACUUUUUGCAUUGUUUAAAGGAGAUAAAAUUUAUUUAACUUAGUUUAAAAUGUACGUAGUCACAUUCAACGUGAGGACUUUAAUUUCAUAAAUAUUAUACUGUCCGACCCGACAGUUGUAGAAAAUUUCCAACGGGGUUAACAUCAAUCGUACCAUUUCUUCCGGGUUGAUAAGGUGCCAAUAUGCGAGACUCUUGAAUAUCAUACAUAUUAAUUUUGAAUACAAUUACAGUCGUAAAGUAUUUAUACAUCUUGGGACUUUAUAAAGAUUGAUUGAUUGUUGGUUGCUUAACGUCCAGUGGCAAAUAUUUCAUGCAUAUUCAGAACCAGAACAAGUUCACAAUAAAUACAAUAGGUAGGUCUUGUCACAAUAGAGGCCAUCUGGGAUGAUGGUUGGGGAAAUUUGGACUGCCACUGUAAAAUGAGGGUAUUUCGGAUAGGGACAUACAUUUUGCCUUGCAACAGGCCACCUACGGACCCCUUAAAGAGUUGUUGCAAGGGUUCUUAACGUGCAAAGAGCGUGGCACUCUUUACACGAGGCAUCGGAUUUAACGUCCCCAAUCUGACCGGACGCGACUGCGAAUUUGAUACAUCCCGCACAGCCAAACGGACGCCCCACUUCGGCAAGCGUUUUACUGCCGUUCGGAAGAAGACCAAGUGACCAUAUUUCUAUUCCCCAGUCACCCCUGGGGGACUUUAUACAAAUAAUUUUAAAUAAAAUUUCAUUUGUAAAGUAUUUAUUUAUCUCGAACAUUUUCAUAGAUUAAAAAUGUUGUUCGUUUGUUGAUUAUAUGUAGGUGAUGAUCGUUUACAAAUUGAUUGGUUGUUCGGUAUUGUGUCCAAAGUCAAAGACAUAAUGUUUGUUCAGGAAAGAACACAUAUCUAGGAGAUUUGAAUUUCAUUUCACGGGGAUUCGUUAUAAAUGAAGACAUUAUAUUUCAAGAAAAGUAACACAAUGCUUAGUAAUACCUUAUAUAGAUAGCAGGGUUUUAACUUUAAGAGCAGGGUUUCAACUUUAAGAACAUUAACUUGGAUCAUGUCGAUUUAAAAAAUAAAUCAAUAACGCAUAUCACUUCAUUCUUGUCUUCACUGAUUGAUUGAUGUGUGCUUUACGCCGCAUUAGCACAAAAAGGUUAUAUAGCGGCAAAUUGCCCUCACUGUUUCAAUAAACAUGAUGAACAUAUAUUAAUCAGAAAAAAAAAAUUAAUGAUAUUGUUCAUUAGAGGUAAAUAACAAGUUUCAAGUUCUUAUUAAAUCAGGAAAAUCAAUACAAAUUACAAUGCUGUUUUCCCCUACAUUUACAUGAUAUUACAUUACAUAAAUAAAUAUAUACAUGUUCCUGAUGACGGACGCAAUAAAUUAUUAAACGAGUUGUUUUUAAUUAUUUACACCUCUGGGUCGAUACCCCGAGGGUGUCAUGAGCAAGUAGUCAGUAUUUCGGUACCGACAUGAUUUAACAAACUUAACUAAAAUCGUCCGUUUAUGAGUAGAAAUUAUUAAGAAACUAAGGUUUCAACUCCCUAUGCAAAGUUUGAUUUAGAUAAAAUUUGUCUAUUUAUUUUAGGUAUUUUAAACAUAAUUAUGGCUCUUCAACGGUUUCGGUACUUAUACAUCUAUUGUCUGUUUAAUUAGAGUUCGAGAUAAAUGUGUGCCAGGAUCUGUUUCCAUCGGUGUAUAAUUAUAAUGAUUGAUAUAAUUUACAUAUUUCACUAAGCUAUCUGUCAGAUGAAAGCUUUUAAGUCGAUCAAUUAAUUUAAGGGCUAGGAUAAGUAUAUGAUUCGUAGUAGGUUGUCUCCCUAAUUCACACCUCACGGCUCUCUUAUGAACACCUAACAUAUUUAUACAGAAUUUAUCAUGAUCUUUUUUAAAAGGUAAUUUAUCAAUAUUUUGAAUAACUAAUCGGUAUAUCAGAUCCAUAAGGACUUAUUGGUUUUAUAAGAGUAUCAAAUAGUUUUAAUUCUAGUGUAUGGUCUAUAUUGUUUAACCUCAAUGUAAUAGAAUGCACAGAAAAACGUGCUUUAAACUGUAUUUGUAAAAAAAUUUCUACAGCAUGAUAAAAAUGUCCAUUAAAUUAAAUAACAAUCCCAAAAUAAUUAUAUUUCUCAACCAUUUCAUUUUCUUUGACGUCGUAAAAAAACACUUAAAUUUCACUUUCAGCUUCCGGCUACAUGUAUCAGAGUAUGAAUUUAGAGAAUUUAAACAGGAUUGAAGACCUUCUUUGCUAUCGGAUAGUCGAUGUAAAUUAUCACCUUAUAAUAUCAACUCAUUCUAGUAUCUCAGUUGGGUGCCAUCCCAUUAGCCCGACACCUAAAAUUCCGAGAGCCCAUUACUCCGACAGCCCACUAUUCCGACAAUGCAUCGGUCUUGUGUGUAUGGGUAAAUUUUCUCUUAAAAGACCAACUCGGAUGCAGGUAAAUUUUCGGAUGCAGGUAAAUUUUCACCAACAGAUUUAUAUCAUAAUAAUUAAUAUCACUGAUUUUAUAUCCUAUAAUGAGAUUUCUGUAGUUUAGGAUAUGAUGACCUAUUUUAACUUUAUUUAAUAGUAUUUUGAUCUUUUCCCAAAAAGUUUAAAGUAAUGGCAUUCUAGAAAAAAAUGUUUAUAAUCUUCUGUUACAUUACAUAAGUCACAUUUACUGUCUUCUUUUAUCUUCCAUUGAAAAAGCAGUUGUUUACAAGGAAGGAUAUGAUGCAGCAAUUUCCAUUUAAACAAUUUUUAAUCUGUUAUCUUUAAAUAAUAAAUACAAAGUUUAGCAUUGAAAUUGGAUUAAAGAAUCUAAAUUNAACAGAGAAGUUCAUAUCUUUUGUGAUGCUUCAAAAGAGGCAAUAGGUGCAGUGGCUUAUUUGAGAUUAAUUGACUCACACCAUGUAACAGUUAGUUUUUUAUUGGGAAAAGCGAAGGUUGCGCCUUCACAUGGGAAUACUAUUCCUCGAUUAGAACUGUGCGCUUCUGUUCUUGCCGCAGAAUUAUCAGAUCUUGUCAAAGAGCAUUUAGGUAUAGAUCAAAGUGAAAUGUACUUUUACUCAGACAGCAAAAUAGUGUUAGGUUACUUGACAAAUGAGUCAAAGAGGUUUCAUGUAUACGUUGGAAACCGAGUGCGACGAAUACGAGUCUCUUGUGAUCCAAAACGAUGGAGUCAUGUUUCAACUGAAAAUAAUCCAGCAGAUAUUGCAACACGAGGAAUAAACCCUGCAGAGUUAUCAAAUAGUUUAUGUAUGGAUAAAAGGAGCAGCAUUUCUUUAUAACAUAUCCCUUGGAAAUUUAGAUAACGGUCCACAUCAGUUGGUUGAUGCUGAUAGUGACAAGGAGAUUCGCCCAGAGGUGCAAGUAGCUAAAACACAAACUGUAGAUCAAAAUAAUGUACAUAGAUUAGGGACACAUAGAUUCUCAAAGUUUUCAGAAUGGAGAACUUUAGUCAGAGCAAUUUCCUUAUUGAAACAACUUGUUAGAAAUCGAGCACAUCAUAACAAUAAACCUGAACAUUUAGAUGCAUACAAACAACCAGAUGCUUUGAAACAAGCCCAACAAUUCAUAAUUCGUGAGGUUCAAAUGGAAAAUUAUAGAGACGAAAUAGACAGUAUCAAACAUGGAACAUCGUUACAUAACAACAGUUCUCUCUCGCAACUAUCGCCCAUACUUGAUGUUGAUGAUACCUUAAGAGUUGGUGGUCGCUUACGAAACUACAAAGAUUGUUCAGAUCUUUCAAAACAUCCUAUUAUCUUACCAAAACACCACCAUAUAUCAUUACUUAUUGUUCGACACUUCCAUGAAAAAGUGGCUCAUCAAGGCAGAAGCCUCACAGAUGGUGCUAUCCGUACAGCUGGUUUUUGGAUUUUAGGCAGUCGUCGUUUAGUUUCUUCAGUGCUGCAUAAAUGUGUGAUAUGUCGUAAGCUUCGUGGUUGUUUCGGUUGGCAGCAAAUGGCAGAUUUGCCUCAGGACAGAUUGAAACCAUCACCGCCAUUUACAUUCGUCGGUGUUGACACUUUUGGCCCAUGGCCAAUAGCUUAUAGACGCACUCGUGGAAUACAAGCUAAUCAGAAAAGAUGGGCACUUAUGUUUACAUGCCUUGUCAGUAGAGCAAUUCAUAUAGAGGUCAUAGAGGAGCUCAGCAGUGCUUCAUUUAUAAAUGCGUUGCGACGUUUCAUUGCCUUAAGGGGUGAAGUUAAACAGUUCCGUUCAGAUAGGGGAACGAAUUUUGUUGGCAGUUCAAAAGAGUUAAAUAUGAUCACUGAAUUUGUUGAAAAAGACUCUGUGAAAAGUUUUCUCUCAAAAAAUGACGUCUUGUGGCAAUUUAAUCCUCCACACGCUUCCCACAUGGGAGGAGUGUGGGAAAGGAUGAUUGGCGUUUCACGUAAGAUUCUCGAUUCAAUGUUAUUACGGGAAGGUUCGAAAAAUCUUACGCAUGAAGUUCUAACUACCUUGUUAUCGGAGGUAACAGCAAUAGUGAAUGCAAGACCCUUGGUUCCAGUGUCAACGGACCCAGAAUCCCCAUGCGUUCUUUGA